ACCCUUGUCUCAUUCCGAGAUUGUGUGCUGAGGGUUUUCAACUGCAUCUCUAAAGGGAAGGCCAAAGAAAGAGCAACAGGAAAGGAUGGUAAAAAGGGGGUAGAAAGGAAGAAGGAAGGGAAGAAAAAAGGGAAAACAGCAAGCUCUCUUUCCAGAGCCACACAUUUUUUUCUGUUUGCUCAGUGGCAGUCUGUUAAAGAAAUACUUCAUUGUCACUGAACACAGAGUCAUUAAAGGCACCUUGGAAAUUUGGACCCUUUUACUAGAAUCAGGGCUUAAAUAGCAACUUAAUUUAUGACACUUCUCGAGGCUGAUGGCGUUUUUGCUCUAAGGAGGCUGCAAGUUGGAGAUCAGGGUGACAGCAUGAUCAGGUUCGGGUGAGGGCUCUCUUCCUGACUUGCAGACAAGCACCUCCCUGACCUGCCUUGCAAGAAAUGUUAAAAGAAGUGCUUUAGAGAGCAGGGAAAUUCUAUAGGUCAGACACUUGGAUCUACAUAAAAAAAGGAAGAAACCAAAGGAGAAAUAAGUGAAGGCAUGGAAACCUUGUUCCACACAUUGCCUGGUGCCCUGUCCAGCGCUGCAAGGUGCACUGCGUCUCCUCUGCCCAGCAAGCCACAAGCCCCUCCAGGGUGAGAGGAGAGCCUUCCCUUCCCUUGGUCCUCCCUUCGACACAGGGAGCUGGAGCUGGACAGCCCCAUAGGCACUCAGGGCUUGAAGAAGAUAUCUAGAAAUGUCAAAGCAGAAGAGCCUCGGAGAUAAUCUGAACUAUUUCUGAGUUUAUAUAAGGGAAAACUGAGACUGGAGAGAACUAACAUGUCUAAUAUUACAAUGGAAACUUGUAAUAAAACCACAAAU
Long non-coding RNA from Homo sapiens (human), 855 nucleotides. Ensembl annotates it as long intergenic non-protein coding RNA 1791. Lineage: Eukaryota; Metazoa; Chordata; Mammalia; Primates; Hominidae. The record is from Ensembl.